RNAcentral lists this long non-coding RNA (239 nucleotides) under Elaeis guineensis (African oil palm). RNAcentral's name for it is "long non-coding RNA (EGUI_LNC070679)". Lineage: Eukaryota; Viridiplantae; Streptophyta; Magnoliopsida; Arecales; Arecaceae. The record is from RNAcentral.
GUGGCACAAUGCUCCAUGCAAUUCUCAGUUAAAACACAUAAUAACCCCUUUUGGGCAGGUGAUUGUAUAUCAUAACUAGAAAGUAUCUCUCUCAUGAUGAAAAAUUGCAUAAACUGACAUAAAUAAACUAUUGGAUUUUUAGAUGAUUAGCAUGUAGAUUUUUCAUUUCAUAAAAAUACGCAGCGAAAAGAUAAAAUUAAAACAAUUUUAAUUUUAUUCAUGCCCGGAUCUAAUCCUAC